GGUUCGGAAUAACAGUUAGAAAUGACUGCUAAUGCCGGAUAAUGACGUAAGUCCAAAGAUUUAUCGCGAAGGAUGAGCCCGCGUAGGAUUAGGUAGUUGUGGGGGUAAUGGCCCACCAAGCCGACGAUCCUUAGCUGGUCUGAGAGGAUGAUCAGCCACACUGGGACUGAGACACGGCCCAGACUCCUACGGGAGGCAGCAGUAGGGAAUAUUGGACAAUGGGCGAAAGCCUGAUCCAGCAAUGCCGCGUGAGUGAUGAAGGCCUUAGGGUUGUAAAGCUCUUUUACCAGGGAUGAUAAUGACAGUACCUGGAGAAUAAGCUCCGGCUAACUCCGUG
This 337-nucleotide ribosomal RNA is filed under the name uncultured bacterium. RNAcentral describes it as "bacterial SSU rRNA". It matches the Rfam family "Bacterial small subunit ribosomal RNA", at positions 135 to 507 of the family's 1533-position model. The record is from RNAcentral.